This 492-nucleotide ribosomal RNA is filed under the name uncultured bacterium. RNAcentral's name for it is "partial 16S ribosomal RNA". It matches the Rfam family "Bacterial small subunit ribosomal RNA", at positions 29 to 507 of the family's 1533-position model. The record is from RNAcentral.
AGUGAACGCUGGCGGUAGGCCUAACACAUGCAAGUCGAACGGCAGCACAGUAAGAGCUUGCUCUUACGGGUGGCGAGUGGCGGACGGGUGAGGUAUACAUCGGAAUCUACUUUUUCGUGGGGGAUAACGUAGGGAAACUUACGCUAAUACCGCAUACGACCUACGGGUGAAAGCAGGGGAUCUUCGGACCUUGCGCGAUUGAAUGAGCCGAUGUCGGAUUAGAUAGUUGGCGGGGUAAAGGCCCACCAAGGCGACGAUCCGUAGCUGGUCUGAGAGGAUGAUAAGCCACACGGGAACUGAGACACGGUCCAGACUCCUAAGGGAGGCAGCAGUGGGGAAUAUUGGACAAUGGGCGCAAGCCUGAUACAGCCAUACCGCGUGGGUGAAGAAGGCCUUCGGGUUGUAAAGACCUUUUGUGGGGAAAGAAAAGCAGCAGGUUAAUACCCCGCGGUUCUGACGGUACCCAAAGAAUAAGCACCGGCUAACUUCGUG